AUUAAGCCAUGCAUGUCUAAGUACAAACCGAUUAAAUGGUGAAACCGCGAAUGGCUCAUUAAAUCAGUCGUAAUCUACAGGAUAUCGAUCCCACCUCGUUGGAUAACUGUGGUAAUUCUAGAGCUAAUACAUGCACCGAAGCUCCGGUCCUCGCUUCGGCGAGGGAAGGGCGCAUUUAUUAGACCCAAAAACCGAUCCAAAGCUCGCCUCGCGCGAACGGUACUGGGGACUCCGAAUAACUUCGCCGAGCGCUUCGGUCUCACGACCGGCGCCGUAUCCUUCGAGCGUCUGCCUUAUCAGCUCUAUCGUAAGGUAUUGGCUUACGACGGCUGUAACGGGUAACGGGGAAUCAGGGUUCGAUUCCGGAGAGGGAGCCUGAGAAACGGCUACCACAUCUAAGGAAGGCAGCAGGCGCGCAAAUUACCCAAUCCCGGCACGGGGAGGUAGUGACGAAAAAUACCGGUGCGGGUCUCCGACGAGGCCUCGCCAUCGGAUUGAGUUUAAACUAAAACCUUGGACGAGCGUCCAUUGGAGGGCAAGUCUGGUGCCAGCAGCCGCGGUAAUUCCAGCUCCGAUAGCGUAUAUUAAAGUUGCUGCGGUUAAAAAGCUCGUAGCUGGACUUCGCGUCCGGACUGACGGCCCGCCGAGGGUGGGACCGUCGACGACGUUUAGUGCGUCCUCAUGCAGGGCGCGCGCGUUCGUCGCGGUCUUCUCCCCCCGUGCGGACAACCUAGUCAAACCCGGUUCGCCGAAAUCCGCCGGCGCGCGAGGGGUGCCUACGGUGACCCUAGCGUCCGGCAUUUUCACUUUGAAUAAAUAAGAGUGCUCAAAGCGGGCGCAAAAGUUUAACGCCAAAACGAAAGUGCAUUGAACGAAGAAAUAAGACCUCGACCCCGCCGUUGUUUCGAUCGGUUUCAGGGGGCCGAGGUAACGAUUAAGAGAAGCGGCCGGAGGCAUACGUAUUGCGACGCUAGAGGUGAAAUUCGUUGACCGUCGCAAGACGAACCGAGGCGAAGGCGUUUGUCAAGAACGUUUUCAUUAGUCAAGAACGAAAGUCAGAGGAUCGAAGGCGAUCAGAUACCGCCCUAGUUCUGACCGUAAACUUUGCUACCUGACGAUCCGUCGACGUCGUACCCUAGACUCGGCGGGAAGUCUCCGGGAAACCUAAGGUUUCGAGCUCCGGGGGAAGUAUGGUUGCAAAAGUGAAACUUAAAGGAAUUGACGGAAGGGCACCACCAGGAGUGGAGCCUGCGGCUUAAUUCGACUCAACACGGGGAAACUUAUCAGGACCGGACGCUGAAAGGAUUGACAGAUUGAGAGCUUUUUCUCGAUUUAGCGGGAGGUGGUGCAUGGCCGUUUCAAGUUGGUGGUGCGAAUUGUCUGGUUGAUUCCGGUAACGAGCGAGACUCUGCCUUGCUAAUUAGUCGGCGAAUCGGCUCUGAGAGUCGAGCGCGAGCCAGUUUCGCGAGCGUCGUUCUUUUUCGGCUGGCGUGUGGGGGCGGGUGACGGUGGCGGCGCGUCGUCGUCUCGCUCGCGACUCCUUCGUAGGGGUUCGUGGGUGGGGCAAUGCGCGCGCGUCGUCGCGUAACGUCCUCGUCUCUUCGCGUCGUUCAAGUCGGAGCGUACAGGAGCGGCGUUUUGGACGGUUCGUCGUCUCGUCUAGGAGCGUUCGUCGCAAUAAAGUCUUCUUAGAGGAAUCGGCGGCGUUUAGCCGCACGAAAAUGAGCCAAAACAGGUCUGUGAUGCCCUUAGAUGUUCCGGGCCGCACGCGCGCUACAAUGGUAGGUUCAACGUGCUUCGUCCUCCUCCGAAAGGAGAGGGUAAUCACCGUAAGGCCAUUAGACUUCGGUAGGGAUUGGGGCUUGCAAAUAUCCCCCACGAACGAGGAAUUCCCAGUAGACGCGAGUCCUCAGCCCGCGUCGAUUGAGUUUCUGCCCUUUGUACACACCGCCCGUCGCUACUACCGAUUGAGUGAUCGAGUGAGGACCUCGGACUGGCGCCCAGGGCCGAUCGACCUUCUCGUUUCGGCGAGAGGCCGUCGCCUANGGCUGACGGAAUGACGUCCCAGCUCGGAUAUUUAGAGGAAGUAAAAGUCGUAACAAGGUUUCCGUAG
Molecule: ribosomal RNA, 2113 nt
Filed under: Diastylis rathkei
Lineage: Eukaryota; Metazoa; Arthropoda; Malacostraca; Cumacea; Diastylidae
Description: SSU rRNA
Rfam family: Eukaryotic small subunit ribosomal RNA
Source: RNAcentral